This 257-nucleotide long non-coding RNA is filed under the name Elaeis guineensis (African oil palm). Its description in RNAcentral is "long non-coding RNA (EGUI_LNC014299)". The record is from RNAcentral. Lineage: Eukaryota; Viridiplantae; Streptophyta; Magnoliopsida; Arecales; Arecaceae.
GGCCCAAAACCUACUAUAACCUUCUCGGAUCAGGCCGAAAGGCCAAUUCAAAGUGGGUCCCUAUCGUUCCAUCACCAUGCCAAGCUUAGCACAUUAUAUAUUGUGGAUAUAGAAAGGGAGAUUUUCACCGCUUUUUAAUGCAUGUAUAAAUCUUUUUUCCUACAAUAAAAAUGAUAUUUGACAUUAUUUCAUGGGACACGGAUACGAAAUAGGCCAGAUAUAAAAUAAGAAUAAGAAUUUGGCAUUUUUCUCGGGCC